RNAcentral lists this ribosomal RNA (405 nucleotides) under uncultured Ruminococcus sp. RNAcentral describes it as "bacterial SSU rRNA". It matches the Rfam family "Bacterial small subunit ribosomal RNA", at positions 977 to 1383 of the family's 1533-position model. The record is from RNAcentral. Lineage: Bacteria; Bacillati; Bacillota; Clostridia; Eubacteriales; Oscillospiraceae.
AGUCUUGACAUCUGCCUGACCGCACCUUAACCGGUGCUUUCCUUCGGGACAGGCAAGACAGGUGGUGCAUGGUUGUCGUCAGCUCGUGUCGUGAGAUGUUGGGUUAAGUCCCGCAACGAGCGCAACCCCUAUCCUUAGUAGCCAGCAGUAAGAUGGGGACUCUAGGGAGACUGCCGGGGACAACCCGGAGGAAGGCGGGGACGACGUCAAAUCAUCAUGCCCCUUAUGAUUUGGGCUACACACGUGCUACAAUGGCGUAAACAGAGGGAAGCAGGCCAGCGAUGGUGAGCGAAUCCCAAAAAUAACGUCCCAGUUCGGACUGCAGUCUGCAACUCGACUGCACGAAGCUGGAAUCGCUAGUAAUCGCAGAUCAGAAUGCUGCGGUGAAUACGUUCCCGGGUCUUG